AAAUUGAAGAGUUUGAUCAUGGCUCAGAUUGAACGCUGGCGGCAGGCCUAACACAUGCAAGUCGAGCGGAAACGAGUUAUCUGAGCCUUCGGGG
This 94-nucleotide ribosomal RNA is filed under the name Vibrio alginolyticus. RNAcentral describes it as "partial 16S ribosomal RNA". It matches the Rfam family "Bacterial small subunit ribosomal RNA", at positions 1 to 98 of the family's 1533-position model. Lineage: Bacteria; Pseudomonadati; Pseudomonadota; Gammaproteobacteria; Vibrionales; Vibrionaceae. The record is from RNAcentral.